RNAcentral lists this ribosomal RNA (253 nucleotides) under uncultured bacterium. RNAcentral describes it as "partial 16S ribosomal RNA". It matches the Rfam family "Bacterial small subunit ribosomal RNA", at positions 524 to 776 of the family's 1533-position model. The record is from RNAcentral.
UACGUAGGGGGCAAGCGUUAUCCGGAUUUACUGGGUGUAAAGGGAGCGCAGACGGCAGUGCAAGUCUGGAGUGAAAGCCCGGGGCCCAACCCCGGGGCUGCAUUGGGAACUGCCAGGCUGGAGUGCCGGAGAGGCAGGCGGAAUUCCUAGUGUAGCGGUGAAAUGCGUAGAUAUUAGGAGGAACACCAGUGGCGAAGGCGGCCUGCUGGACGGUGACUGACGCUGAGGCUCGAAAGCGUGGGGAGCAAACAGG